GACGAACGCUGGCGGCGUGCUUAACACAUGCAAGUCGAACGGAAAGGCCCUGCUUUUGUGGGGUGCUCGAGUGGCGAACGGGUGAGUAACACGUGAGUAACCUGCCCUUGACUUUGGGAUAACUUCAGGAAACUGGGGCUAAUACCGGAUAGGAGCUCCUGCUGCAUGGUGGGGGUUGGAAAGUUUCGGCGGUUGGGGAUGGACUCGCGGCUUAUCAGCUUGUUGGUGGGGUAGUGGCUUACCAAGGCCUUGACGGGUAGCCGGCCUGAGAGGGUGACCGGCCACAUUGGGACUGAGAUACGGCCUAGACUCCUACGGGAGGCAGCAGUGGGGAAUAUUGCACAAUGGGCGGAAGCCUGAUGCAGCAACGCCGCGUGCGGGAUGACGGCCUUCGGGUUGUAAACCGCUUUCGCCUGUGACGAAGCGUGAGUGACGGUAAUGGGUAAAGAAGCACCGGCUAACUACGUG
This 468-nucleotide ribosomal RNA is filed under the name uncultured bacterium. RNAcentral's name for it is "partial 16S ribosomal RNA". It matches the Rfam family "Bacterial small subunit ribosomal RNA", at positions 28 to 507 of the family's 1533-position model. The record is from RNAcentral.